CCCGGACCAAGGCGCCCGCCGGAGGACCAACCAAAACUCUUAUUGUAUACCCCCUCGCGGGUUUUUUUAUAAUCUGAGCCUUCUCGGCGCCUCUCGUAGGCGUUUCGAAAAUGAAUCAAAACUUUCAACAACGGAUCUCUUGGUUCUGGCAUCGAUGAAGAACGCAGCGAAAUGCGAUAAGUAAUGUGAAUUGCAGAAUUCAGUGAAUCAUCGAAUCUUUGAACGCACAUUGCGCCCGCCAGUAUUCUGGCGGGCAUGCCUGUCCGAGCGUCAUUUCAACCCUCGAACCCCUCCGGGGGGUCGGCGUUGGGGAUCGGCCCUGCCUUGGCGGUGGCCGUCUCCGAAAUACAGUGGCGGUCUCGCCGCAGCCUCUCCUGCGCAGUAGUUUGCACACUCGCAUCGGGAGCGCGGCGCGUCCACAGCCGUUAAACACCCAACUUCUGAAAUGUUGACCUCGGAUCAGGUAGGAAUACCCGCUGAACUUAAGCAUAUCAAUAAGCGGAA
RNAcentral lists this ribosomal RNA (504 nucleotides) under Trichoderma harzianum. RNAcentral's name for it is "eukaryotic LSU rRNA". The stretch from base 120 to 273 matches the Rfam family "5.8S ribosomal RNA". The record is from RNAcentral. Lineage: Eukaryota; Fungi; Ascomycota; Sordariomycetes; Hypocreales; Hypocreaceae.